RNAcentral lists this ribosomal RNA (442 nucleotides) under uncultured bacterium. RNAcentral describes it as "partial 16S ribosomal RNA". It matches the Rfam family "Bacterial small subunit ribosomal RNA", at positions 338 to 795 of the family's 1533-position model. The record is from RNAcentral.
CCUACGGGUGGCAGCAGUGGGGAAUAUUGGGCAAUGGGCGCAAGCCUGACCCAGCAACGCCGCGUGAAGGAAGAAGGCUUUCGGGUUGUAAACUUCUUUUCUGAGGGACGAAGAAAGUGACGGUACCUCAGGAAUAAGCCACGGCUAACUACGUGCCAGAAGCCGCGGUAAUACGUAGGUGGCAAGCGUUAUCCGGAUUUAUUGGGGGAAAAGGGCGGGUAGGCGGGAAAGCAAGUCAGAGGUGAAAACUCAGGGCUCAACCCUGAGCCGGCAUUGGGAACGGUUAUCUUGAGUGCUGGAGAGGCAAUCGGAAUUCCGUGUGUAGCGGUGAAAUGCGUAGAUAUACGGAGGAACACCAGUGGCGAAGGCGGAUUGCUGGACAGUAACUGACGCUGAGGCGCGAAAGCGUGGGGAGCAAACAGGAUUAGAUACCCCAGUAGUC